This 253-nucleotide ribosomal RNA is filed under the name uncultured bacterium. RNAcentral's name for it is "partial 16S ribosomal RNA". It matches the Rfam family "Bacterial small subunit ribosomal RNA", at positions 524 to 776 of the family's 1533-position model. The record is from RNAcentral.
UACAGAGGAUGCAAGCGUUAUCCGGAAUGAUUGGGCGUAAAGCGUCUGUAGGCGGCUUUUUAAGUCAGCCGUCAAAUCCCAGGGCUCAACCCUGGAACGGCGGUUGAAACUGCCGAGCUGGAGUAAGGUAGAGGUAGGGGGAAUUUCCGGUGUAGCGGUGAAAUGCGUAGAGAUCGGAAGGAACACCAAUGGCGAAAGCAGGCUGCUGGGCCGACACUGACGCUGAGAGACGAAAGCGAGGGGAGCGAAUAGG